CCCCCAAUCAUUCAUUCAUUUAAUCAGAGAUUGGAGAACUCUGAAGCGAAGGAACCCUAGCCCUCCAUCGUCGCCGCCGUUCCCAGGUCGUCACCGCCGUUCCCAGGUCGUCGAACCCUAACCCAGUAACUCGGCAGGUACUCUUCAUCUUCGCUGGCUUCUCGGCACGGAACCCAGGCUAACGUUCCUUGGGGCAUGGAGGGGCAACACAACAAGACGGUGAGAAUAUUUGUCGGUGGAUUGGGGGAAUCAGUAACUAAACAAGACCUCCACAGUUUGUUCAGCUCUUUUGGCAAUGUCGAAGCAGUCGAAACAAUCCGAACCAAAGGUCGCAGUUUCGCCUAUCUUGACUUCCUUCCUUCUCCCACCGAUGACAAAUCUCUUGCCAGGCUUUUUAGCAAGUAUAAUGGUUGUGUUUGGAAGGGUGGGAAGUUGAAGCUCGAGAAGGCUAAAGAACAUUAUCUAGUGCGGUUGAAACGAGAAUGGGAUGAAGAUGCUAUGUCUAAGAUUGAACAUGUUAGUGACAAACCAGUCACUACUGAUAAGUUAGAGGAAAAGCCCACAAAGGAGAGUUUAAAGACAAAGCAGCUCCACAUUUACUUCCCGAGGUUAAGAAAGGUAAAACCUAUACCAUUCACUGGAACUGGAAAGCACAAAUACAGUUUCCAGAAUAUUAAAGUUCCUCUUCUCCCUGUGCAUUUCUGUGAUUGCAAGGAACAUUGUAGUCCUUCUGGCACAGAAAGGGGAAAACUACAUAUUGAAAGGGCAACAGAAAUUGGAGGAAUGAAUGAUGAAGAAAUUAACAUAAUGAAUGUCGUGAUGAACAAACUACUUGGAAAAGAAAAUGUUUCCGAAAAGAAGAAUCUUGAAACAGAGGAUUCCUUUGAAUCACCUGCACAUCCUGAUGACUCUCAAGUAGGUAGUUCAACAGAUGAAGAUGAUAUCAUUAUUAACGUGAACACAAAGAGAAAUAAAUCGUCCAUAAUAGGGAGUGAGGAACUUCAAAUGAUCUUGGAAAAUCAGGUUAAUUUUCAUUGCUGUCAUUAUUAUUAUUAUUAUUAUUAUUAUUAUUAUUAUUUGGCAAACAGUCUAAAGUUUCAUGGUCUCAGAAAUCUUCAUGGAAAGAACUACUUGGUAAUGGAGGUAAUACUGCUUUCAAUGCCACACUCAUAUUUCCUGCAGAGCAAGAAAGACCUGAUAGUCCAUCCCAAUCCAUAUCUUUAAACGACAAAACUGAAAACAUGGAAGGGCAUGAACACCUAGGGAGUGAACCCACCGAUACAGAAUCGACAAAGGAGCUCACUGAAGAUAAUCAUACCAACACAUCAGCAUUAAGAAAGCAUGCUGAAGCUCAGCCUGCUGACAACAAUGUGGAGUUGAAGAAGACCGGUCGAGGUGCAUCAUGGCGACGGAGGCAAUCAUGGACACAACUGGUUGCUGGAGACAACAGUUCAUUUAGCAUUUCACAGAUUUUGGCAGGCAUUACAUUCUCAGAGCCAAUGGCCAAGGGGUCUACCAUGGACCCUGCAAAUUCCAACAAUCCCAAGCAUAAUAAUGUAGGUAAGGAUGCUAUUAAUGAAGUUGUUACUAGUGAUGGGUGUAUACCGGAAAAGAGUCAACAUGAUGGUGGUGGUGCCAAUGAUACUGCAUAUGAGGAAAAGAGUGAGACAAGAGAAAAGGAAGGAUCGUCUGAAGAAACAGUACAAAAAGAGAGAUCCACUGCGAGGGUUGAAGUAGGCGAAACUUGCACAUUCAUGAGAAGUUGUUCUUCUUUGAAAGAGUGGGCGAAGGCUAAGGCUGCUUUAAGUGGAUCACUCAAAAGGAAACGUCCCAACUCCUGAGAACCAGUAAAGAAGCAUGAAUAACACUGUAGUGUAUUUUUAAUUUGUUGUUUUUCUUGGCUUAUGCAUAGCAAAAUGAGGGAAAUUAAUUUUCAGAUACUGCGAAAUGAUUGAUUUCUGUUUGAUUGGACAAUGCUGUAGGGACUGCUUAACAAUAGAGAGUGUGACAAUAGUCAAUAGCCAUGUUGAGCUUGGGAAUAGUCUUUCCCCCA
Non-coding RNA from Arachis ipaensis, 2053 nucleotides. The record is from RefSeq and is a predicted model, not a curated record. NCBI's taxonomy places the organism in Eukaryota, Viridiplantae, Streptophyta, Magnoliopsida, Fabales, Fabaceae.